CCUACGGGAGGCAGCAGUGAGGAAUAUUGGUCAAUGGCCGAGAGGCUGAUCCAGCCACGUCGCGUGAGGGAAGACGGCCCUACGGGUUGUAAACCUCUUUUUUCGGGGAGAAAAGCGAGUCACGUGUGACUCAUUGAGAGUACCCGACGAAAAAGCAUCGGCUAACUCCGUGCAAGCAGCCGCGGUAAUACAGAGGGUGCGAGCGUUAUCCGGUUUUAUUGGGUUUAGAGGGUGCGAAGGCGGAGUGUCAAGUCAGCGGUCAAAUUGCGGGGCUCAACCCCGGACUGCCGUUGAAACUGCAUCCCUUGAGUGCGCGAGAAGUAUGCGGAAUGCGUGGUGAAGCGGUGAAAUGCAUAGAUAUCACGCAGAACACCGAUGGCGAAGGCAGCAUACCGGCGCGCAACUGACGCUCAUGCACGAAAGCGUGGGUAUCGAACAGGAUUAGAUACCCCUGUAGUC
This 459-nucleotide ribosomal RNA is filed under the name uncultured bacterium. RNAcentral's name for it is "partial 16S ribosomal RNA". It matches the Rfam family "Bacterial small subunit ribosomal RNA", at positions 338 to 795 of the family's 1533-position model. The record is from RNAcentral.